GUAGGGAAUAUUGGUUAAUGGGCGAAAGCCUGACCCAGCAACGCCGCGUGAACGAUGAAGGCCUUCGGGUUGUAAAGUUCUUUUGACAGGGAUGAGGAAGGACAGUACCUGUCGAAUAAGUCUCGGCUAACUACGUGCCAGCAGCCGCGGUAACACGUAGGAGACGAGCGUUAUCCGGAUUUACUGGGUGUAAAGCGCGUGCAGGCGGUAUGGUAAGUUGGAUGUGAAAGCUCCUGGCUUAACUGGGAGAGGUCGUACAAGACUGCCAGACUAGAGGACAGCAGAGGGGAGUGGAAUUCCGAGUGUAGCGGUAAAAUGCAUAGAUAUUCGGAAGAACACCAGUGGCGAAGGCGGCUCUCUGGGCUGUACCUGACGCUCAGACGCGAAAGCUAGGGUAGCAAACGGGAUUAGAUACCCCGGUAGUCC
Molecule: ribosomal RNA, 426 nt
Filed under: uncultured Anaerolinea sp.
Lineage: Bacteria; Bacillati; Chloroflexota; Anaerolineae; Anaerolineales; Anaerolineaceae
Description: bacterial SSU rRNA
Rfam family: Bacterial small subunit ribosomal RNA
Source: RNAcentral